GCAUCGAUGAAGAACGCAGCGAAAUGCGAUAAGUAAUGUGAAUUGCAGAAUUCAGUGAAUCAUCGAAUCUUUGAACGCACAUUGCGCCCCCUGGUAUUCCGGGGGGCAUGCCUGUUCGAGCGUCAUUU
This 128-nucleotide ribosomal RNA is filed under the name Cladosporium sp. YNLF-25. Its description in RNAcentral is "partial 5.8S ribosomal RNA". It matches the Rfam family "5.8S ribosomal RNA", at positions 30 to 154 of the family's 154-position model. From Rfam's summary of the family: 5.8S ribosomal RNA (5.8S rRNA) is a component of the large subunit of the eukaryotic ribosome. It is transcribed by RNA polymerase I as part of the 45S precursor that also contains 18S and 28S rRNA. Functionally, it is thought that 5.8S rRNA may be involved in ribosome translocation. The record is from RNAcentral. Lineage: Eukaryota; Fungi; Ascomycota; Dothideomycetes; Cladosporiales; Cladosporiaceae.